CUUUCAUUCUUGUCUUAGUAUUGGUUAAAUAUAAAUAAUUCUCAUGCAAAGUAUUCAUUAAAAUGUUACUUUUUAACUAUGCCUAGUAUUAUCCUCUCAACUGUCAGAAAAUAGUUAUCAAUUUACUGUGUGACUUUGGAAGAGAUCAUGAAAGCUUUCUUCACUGGACUUGGCAGAAGCCUCAUGGGGCAGCAGCUCAUAUGAAAUGAUAAUGACUUGUCUUUUAUUAAAUUCCUUCAUUUUAUGCUCUAAGUAAUACACUGUUGUCUAGUGCUGUGAUUGAAGGAGGUAAGUGUGGAACUGGUCCUUUCCUGGGCUGAUGGAGGAUACAACCAAAAUACACUCAAUUAUUCUGUGAUUCCCAGCCAUACAUAAAAUACCAGAAAUAACAGCUAAGCAAAGAAAUAUUAUCAGUAAGUGCUACACACUGGGAUGGACCAGGACUGAGAGUCUUCUCCAUACCAGGAGACUGCCCCAGCAGUGUGUUACUCUGCCUUCCUGCUGCUCCACAUCAGUGUUGCAGUGGGAGAUGUUUUGUGGUGCUAAAGUAUGAAUUAAACCUAUGACAUCUGUUUUUUUGAACCCACUCUCACAUAUUUAUGUUCUCCAUUAAGGAUGGCCUGUUCAUAAGCAGGUAUUAAGUCAAUAUUCAUUCCACACGGUGCUUGGACAGACAGCCUACAGCUCAGUGCUCUGACAGAGACAACAGUCUACAGCCUGCAGAUAUAGGCUUAUGCCAGGUGCCACAGGGAUAUCUGUAACCCAUCCUAAUAUACUCUCUUCCUUCUACAAAAUGGGCAAGACACCACUGAAGCCAAAAAGCAAACAUUAACUUUUCUGCAUACUGUCUUCAGAAAGUACAAAAAAAAGUUAGGUUUGUUGGCACUUCCAUCGUGGAAUAUUAUCAGCUGGAGAUCGAUGGCCUUCAGGCAUCUGAAAAUCUGCAAGUCACAGAAGAAUUUGUGUCAGAAGAAUACACUGAAGACCAUGUAUUCCAAAAGCAAAUUGAACUCCAGAUGUGGUCUGACAAGUGUCAAGCAAAGGGACACAGUCACACUCAUCAAUCUUCUA
This 1071-nucleotide long non-coding RNA is filed under the name Cyanistes caeruleus (blue tit). Its description in RNAcentral is "lncRNA (ENSCCEG00000000826.1)". The record is from RNAcentral. Lineage: Eukaryota; Metazoa; Chordata; Aves; Passeriformes; Paridae.